This 567-nucleotide ribosomal RNA is filed under the name uncultured bacterium. RNAcentral describes it as "bacterial SSU rRNA". It matches the Rfam family "Bacterial small subunit ribosomal RNA", at positions 338 to 916 of the family's 1533-position model. The record is from RNAcentral.
CCUACGGGAGGCAGCAGUGGGGGAAUAUUGGGGCAAUGGAGGAAACUCUGACCCAGCGACGCCGCGUGCGGGAUGAAGGCCUUCGGGUUGUAAACCGCUUUCAGCAGGGAAGAAGCGAAAGUGACGGUACCUGCAGAAGAAGCACCGGCUAACUAUGUGCCAGCAGCCGCGGUAAUACAUAGGGUGCAAGCGUUGUCCGGAAUUAUUGGGCGUAAAGAGCUCGUAGGUGGUUCGUCACGUCGGAUGUGAAAAUCUGGGGCUUAACCCCAGACCUGCAUUCGAUACGGGCGAGCUUGAGUAUGGUAGGGGAGUCUGGAAUUCCUGGUGUAGCGGUGGAAUGCGCAGAUAUCAGGAGGAACACCAAUGGCGAAGGCAGGACUCUGGGCCAUUACUGACACUGAGGAGCGAAAGCGUGGGGAGCGAACAGGAUUAGAUACCCUGGUAGUCCACGCCGUAAACGGUGGGACACUAGUUGUGGGGACCUUCCGACGGUCUCUGCGACGCAGCUAACGCAUUAAGUGCCCCGCUGGGGAUACGAUCGNAGAUUAAACCUUAAUGAAUUGACGG